Molecule: unclassified non-coding RNA, 525 nt
Filed under: Crotalaria juncea (sunn hemp)
Lineage: Eukaryota; Viridiplantae; Streptophyta; Magnoliopsida; Fabales; Fabaceae
Description: partial contains external transcribed spacer and 18S ribosomal RNA
Source: RNAcentral
GCUUGCCUUUGACAAUGCGGGGUGUGGUUCGUUUGAUAGUGUUGUGUCUUGCGGACGUGAGUGCGUGUGAGUGGUGAUUGGGAUGGUUGUGUUGUUUGGCUCCUUGCUCAUGGUUUUGGAACUUUCAGCAUGCAACAACCCUUCUCAUGCAUACCUCUUGCCCGUGGGCCUCGGUGUUCAAUGGUGGUUCUUGUGUUGCCUACCCAUUUCUCGGUAUUCGUGUGUCGCGAAGACCUGUUCCCUCCACACAUCCACCUUGUGGUGGUUGAUGGGUGAUUUGUAAUUUGAUGUGUGUUUUGUGUUAGUCGUGUGUUGUAUCGGCUCAUCUGGCCACAUGUGUAUAUUGUUCCCUUGGAUGCGGUGCAUGAGGUGAACGUGGGCUGUUGUUUAUGCCUCGUUUCGUCCCUAUGAUAUAACGGUUGCCUUUGAAAGACACUUUGCCGUAGUGCAGGGCCUGCUAUCCCAUUGGUGGUGGCUAUACUUGCAUGUCGUGCAUUGUCGUUAACGGAUGCUACCUGGUUGAUC